RNAcentral lists this ribosomal RNA (873 nucleotides) under uncultured bacterium. RNAcentral's name for it is "bacterial SSU rRNA". It matches the Rfam family "Bacterial small subunit ribosomal RNA", at positions 24 to 919 of the family's 1533-position model. The record is from RNAcentral.
UCAGGAUGAACGCUGGCGGCGCGCCUAACACAUGCAAGUCGAACGGCACCCAUCUUCGGAUGGAAGCGAGUGGCGAACGGCUGAGUAACACGUGGAGAACCUGCCCCCUCCCCCGGGAUAGCCGCCCGAAAGGACGGGUAAUACCGGAUACCCCGGGGUGCCGCAUGGCACCCCGGCUAAAGCCCCGACGGGAGGGGAUGGCUCCGCGGCCCAUCAGGUAGACGGCGGGGUGACGGCCCACCGUGCCGACAACGGGUAGCCGGGUUGAGAGACCGACCGGCCAGAUUGGGACUGAGACACGGCCCAGACUCCUACGGGAGGCAGCAGUGGGGAAUCUUGCGCAAUGGGGGGAACCCUGACGCAGCGACGCCGCGUGCGGGACGGAGGCCUUCGGGUCGUAAACCGCUUUCAGCAGGGAAGAGUCAAGACUGUACCUGCAGAAGAAGCCCCGGCUAACUACGUGCCAGCAGCCGCGGUAAUACGUAGGGGGCGAGCGUUAUCCGGAUUCAUUGGGCGUAAAGCGCGCGUAGGCGGCCCGGCAGGCCGGGGGUCGAAGCGGGGGGCUCAACCCCCCGAAGCCCCCGGAACCUCCGCGGCUUGGGUCCGGUAGGGGAGGGUGGAACACCCGGUGUAGCGGUGGAAUGCGCAGAUAUCGGGUGGAACACCGGUGGCGAAGGCGGCCCUCUGGGCCGAGACCGACGCUGAGGCGCGAAAGCUGGGGGAGCGAACAGGAUUAGAUACCCUGGUAGUCCCAGCCGUAAACGAUGGACGCUAGGUGUGGGGGGACGAUCCCCCCGUGCCGCAGCCAACGCAUUAAGCGUCCCGCCUGGGGAGUACGGCCGCAAGGCUAAAACUCAAAGGAAUUGACGGAAG